AGCAGCCGCGGUAAUUCCAGCUCCAAUAGCGUAUAUUAAAGUUGUUGCAGUUAAAAAGCUCGUAGUUGAAUUUCGGGAUCAAUAUGUUGGUCGUGCCUCGGUACGUACUAGCUUAUUGGUUUCUCCUUUCUGAAGAACCAUGAUGUCAUUUAUUUGGUGUCGUGGGGAAUCAGGACUGUUACUUUGAAAAAAUUAGAGUGUUUAAAGCAGGCUCACGCUUGAAUACAUUAGCAUGGAAUAAUGAAAUAGGACGUUUGAUUCUAUUUUGUUGGUUUCUAGGAUCGACGUAAUGAUUAAUAGGGAUAGUUGGGGGCAUUAGUAUUCAAUUGUCAGAGGUGAAAUUCUUGGAUUUAUUGAAGACUAACUACUGCGAAAGCAUUUGCCAAGGAUGUUUUCAUUAAUCAAGAACGAAAGUUAGGGGAUCGAAGACGAUCAGAUACCGUCGUAGUCUUAACCAUAAACUAUGCCGACUAGGGAUCGGAUGAUGUUAAUUUUUUAAUGACUCAUUC
RNAcentral lists this unclassified non-coding RNA (509 nucleotides) under uncultured Glomus. RNAcentral describes it as "SSU rRNA". It matches the Rfam family "Eukaryotic small subunit ribosomal RNA", at positions 569 to 1081 of the family's 1831-position model. The record is from RNAcentral. Lineage: Eukaryota; Fungi; Glomeromycota; Glomeromycetes; Glomerales; Glomeraceae.